RNAcentral lists this ribosomal RNA (468 nucleotides) under uncultured bacterium. Its description in RNAcentral is "partial 16S ribosomal RNA". It matches the Rfam family "Bacterial small subunit ribosomal RNA", at positions 28 to 507 of the family's 1533-position model. The record is from RNAcentral.
GACGAACGCUGGCGGCGUGCUUAACACAUGCAAGUCGAACGGAAAGGCCCUGCUUUUGUGGGGUGCUCGAGUGGCGAACGGGUGAGUAACACGUGAGUAACCUGCCCUUGACUUUGGGAUAACUUCAGGAAACUGGGGCUAAUACCGGAUAGGAGCUCCUGCUGCAUGGUGGGGGUUGGAAAGUUUCGGCGGUUGGGGAUGGACUCGCGGCUUAUCAGCUUGUUUGUGAGGUAGUGGCUUACCAAGGCUUUGACGGGUAGCCGGCCUGAGAGGGUGACCGGCCACAAUGGGACUGAGAGACGGACCAGACGCCUACGGGAGGCAGCAGUGGAGAAUAUUGCACAAUGGGCGGAAGCCUGAUGCAGCAACGCCGCGUGCGGGAUGACGGCCUUCGGGUUGUAAACCGCUGUCGCCUGUGACGAAGCGUGAGUGACGGUAAUGGGUAAAGAAGCACCGGCUAACUACGUG